This 377-nucleotide ribosomal RNA is filed under the name uncultured bacterium. Its description in RNAcentral is "bacterial SSU rRNA". It matches the Rfam family "Bacterial small subunit ribosomal RNA", at positions 523 to 898 of the family's 1533-position model. The record is from RNAcentral.
AUACGUAGGGGGCGAGCGUUGUCCGGAAUCAUUGGGCGUAAAGCGCGUGUAGGCGGCUCGGUAAGUCUGCUGUGAAAGUCCAGGGCUCAACCCUGGAAUGCCGGUGGAUACUGCCGAGCUCGAGUCCGGAAGAGGCGAGUGGAAUUCCUGGUGUAGCGGUGAAAUGCGCAGAUAUCAGGAGGAACACCGAUGGCGAAGGCAGCUCGCUGGGACGUGACUGACGCUGAGACGCGAAAGCGUGGGGAGCAAACAGGAUUAGAUACCCUGGUAGUCCACGCCGUAAACGAUGGGCACUAGGUGUGGGGGGUGUCGACUCCCUCCGUGCCGACGCUAACGCAUUAAGUGCCCCGCCUGGGGAGUACGGCCGCAAGGCUAAA